RNAcentral lists this long non-coding RNA (584 nucleotides) under Zea mays. RNAcentral describes it as "long non-coding RNA (ZMAY_LNC000751)". Lineage: Eukaryota; Viridiplantae; Streptophyta; Magnoliopsida; Poales; Poaceae. The record is from RNAcentral.
UUUCCUGCUCGAAAAGUCCCCGGUCCGAUCCGGCACGAGGUGGCAGCAGCUGCUGCAGGGCAUCUGCACGUUGAUCCAGAGUGGAUUAACGAGGAAUAAUUCGGGAGUCACGUUCAGCUUUUUUCCACCCUGAAAAUAAAAAAAAACGAGGUCAAAUAUCUUCAUGAGCUCUUUAGAGGCGUGCUUCGGUCAGUUCUCGGUGGCCAUGAUGCUGAAACAAACUGAUCGGAGUCAGCCGUGGGCCGUGGCCCGUGCCACGUGCAGUCGCAGCAGAGAUGAGGUGGUCCUGUGCUCUGCACUGCACGACGUAUAUUUUUUUUCCACAUAUAUAUAUCGGGAGUUCUGGAUAUGUUAUCUUUCUGUUCCUAUACUAGUAUAAUGGUACAGUGUUUUCGUGCAUCUGGAGGGACGGAACUCGACAAGUUGGCCUGUAGUGGUCGUCGUCCCUCCCCACACGCCGUUGGCCCAGAACUGAACACGAUAUUACAUUGCAGCCAGAAAGCGAGCGGCAGCUCCGUCGGUGGUGGGUUUGAUCGGAUCGAGCUGCCACUGCCACUAGCGGCAGCGCGGCUGACGAUAUGAUG